UUUUAAUCCAACAUCGAGGUCGCAAGCUUUUUUAUCGAUAUGAACUCUCCAAAAAAAUUACGCUGUUAUCCCUAAGGUAAGUUAAUCUUAUAAUCAAAAUAAUAUGGAUCAAUAAAACAUAAAUUAAUGAAAUAAUAAUUAAAAGUUAAAUAAAUUUUAAUGUCACCCCAACAAAACUUUUAAUUCAUAAGAAAAAUAUAUAAACUAAAAUUUAAAUUUACUAGAAAAAGUAAACUUCUAUAGGGUCUUCUCGUCCUAUAAAAAAAUUUUAGCUUUUUAACUAAAAAAUUAAGUUCGUAAUAAUUUAAAAAAGAAAGUCAAUUUUUCAUCAAACCAUUCAUACUAGCCUUCAAUUAAAAGACAAAUGAUUAUGCUACCUUAGUACAGUUAAAAUACCGCAGCCUUUUAAUUUUUAAAAAUCAAUGGGCAGGCCUGAUCUUAUAUAUAAAACAAAAGACCAUGUUUUUGUUAAACAGGCGA
This 480-nucleotide ribosomal RNA is filed under the name Microvelia beameri. RNAcentral describes it as "partial 16S ribosomal RNA". Lineage: Eukaryota; Metazoa; Arthropoda; Insecta; Hemiptera; Veliidae. The record is from RNAcentral.